AGUUGGAUCCUGGCUCAGAACGAACGCUGGCGGCGUGCUUCAUACAUGCAAGUCGAACGUGAAACAGACUUUCGGGUUUGUGGAAAGUGGCGAACGGGUGAGUAACGCGUGAGUAACCUGCCUUUAAGUGGGGAAUAACAUCUCUAACGAGAUGCUAAUACCGCAUAAUAGAUGUCUCGCAUUGGGAUAUCUUAAAAGAUGACCUCUGAUUCAAGUUGUCGCUUCUAGAGGGGCUCGCGUUCCAUUAGCUUGUUGGUGGGGUAACGGCCUACCAAGGCUAUGAUGGAUAACCGGCCUGAGAGGGUGUCCGGUCACACUGGGACUGAGAUACGGCCCAGACUCCUACGGGAGGCAGCAGUAGGGAAUAUUGCGCAAUGGCCGAAUGGCUGACGCAGCAACGCCGUGUGGGUGAUGAAGCUUCUUGGAGUGUAAAGCCCUUUUAGUGGGGACGAACCGCAGGGGUGUUAAUACCACCACUGCCUGACGGUACCCACAGAAAAAGCUCCGGCUAACUUCGUGCCAGCAGCCGCGGUAAUACGAGGGGAGCGAGCGUUGUUCGGAUUUACUGGGCGUAAAGGGCGUCUAGGCGGGCUUUCAAGUCAGAUGUGAAAUCUCCCGGCUUAACUGGGAGCCUACAUUUGAUACUGUUGGCCUUGAGUACAGAAGAGGAAAGUGGAAUUCCUGGUGUAGCGGUGAAAUGCGUAGAUAUCAGGAAGAACGCCAGUGGCGAAGGCAGCUUUCUGGGAUGAUACUGACGCUGAAGCGCGAAAGCGUGGGGAGCAAACAGGAUUAGAUACCCCUGGUAGUCCACGCUGUAAACGAUGGGCACUAGGUGUUGGGAGUAUCGACCCUCUCAGUGCCGAAGCUAACGCAUUAAGUGCCCCGCCUGGGGAGUACGAUCGCAAGGUUGAAACUCAAAGGAAUUGACGGGGGCCCGCACAAGCGGUGGAGCAUGUGGUUCAAUUCGAUGCAACGCGAAGAACCUUACCGGGGUUUGACAUGUAUUGGAAAACCUGAGAGAUCAGGUCCUCCUUCGGGACCAAUACACAGGUGCUGCAUGGCUGUCGUCAGCUCGUGUCGUGAGAUGUUGGGUUAAGUCCCGCAACGAGCGCAACCCUUGCCCUUAGUUGCCAUCAGGUUAUGCUGGGCACUCUAAGGGGACUGCUGGUGUUAAACCGGAGGAAGGUGGGGAUGACGUCAAGUCCUCAUGGCCCUUACGUCCCGGGCUACACACGUGCUACAAUGGUCGGCACAAAGAGUUGCAAUGCCGCGAGGUGGAGCUAAUCUCAGAAAACCGGCCUCAGUUCGGAUUGCAGUCUGCAACUCGACUGCAUGAAGUUGGAAUCGCUAGUAAUCGCGGAUCAGCAUGCCGCGGUGAAUACGUUCCCGGGCCUUGUACACACCGCCCGUCAAGCGAUGAAAGCUGGGAGUACCCGAAGUCGUAGUUCUAACCUUUAUGGGGGAACGCGCCGAAGGUAAGACCAGUGAUUGGCGCUAAGUCGUAACAAGGUAACC
RNAcentral lists this ribosomal RNA (1515 nucleotides) under uncultured bacterium. Its description in RNAcentral is "bacterial SSU rRNA". It matches the Rfam family "Bacterial small subunit ribosomal RNA". The record is from RNAcentral.